Molecule: regulatory RNA element, 381 nt
Organism: Chlorocebus sabaeus (green monkey)
Lineage: Eukaryota; Metazoa; Chordata; Mammalia; Primates; Cercopithecidae
Rfam family: Mason-Pfizer monkey virus packaging signal
About the family: The packaging signal is located in the 5' UTR and is required for specific RNA encapsidation.
Source: Rfam
NNNNGCCCGAACAGGGACCUGGAAACGAGGGACUCCGUGAGGAAGAGGACGCCAAAGGACGGUCGACCGCUAACGAAGACAAAAGAAAGUGAACUCUUCCGAUCACCGCGGGAACCUGCCGCGUCAGAAUCGAAGGUAAGUGANNNNNNNNNNAGGACGGUCGACCACUAACAAAAACAAAAGAAAGUGAACUCUUCCGAUCACCGCGGGAACCUGCCGCGUCAGAAUCGAAGGUAAGUGACGCGUCCGAAAUGGGACAAGAAUUAAGCCAACAUCAGAUCUAUGUAGGACAAUUAAAAGAGGCUUUAAAGAUACGAGGAGUAAAGGUUAAAGGUAAUGAUUUGUUUAAAUUUUUUGAUUUUGUAAAAGACACUUGCCCUU